AUUAAACGCUGGCGGCAUGCCUUACACAUGCAAGUCGAACGGCAGCACGGGGGCAACCCUGGUGGCGAGUGGCGGACGGGUGAGUAAUACAUCGGAACGUGCCCUGGAGUGGGGGAUAACGCAGCGAAAGCUACGCUAAUACCGCAUAUUCUGUGAGCAGGAAAGCAGGGGAUCGCAAGACCUUGCGCUUUGGGAGCGGCCGAUGUCGGAUUAGCUAGUUGGUGGGGUAAAGGCCUACCAAGGCGACGAUCCGUAGCGGGUCUGAGAGGAUGAUCCGCCACACUGGGACUGAGACACGGCCCAGACUCCUACGGGAGGCAGCAGUGGGGAAUUUUGGACAAUGGGCGGAAGCCUGAUCCAGCCAUGCCGCGUGAGUGAAGAAGGCCUUCGGGUUGGUUAAAGGAC
Molecule: ribosomal RNA, 405 nt
Filed under: uncultured bacterium
Lineage: Bacteria
Description: bacterial SSU rRNA
Rfam family: Bacterial small subunit ribosomal RNA
Source: RNAcentral